This 626-nucleotide long non-coding RNA is filed under the name Sorghum bicolor (sorghum). Its description in RNAcentral is "long non-coding RNA (SBIC_LNC013268)". Lineage: Eukaryota; Viridiplantae; Streptophyta; Magnoliopsida; Poales; Poaceae. The record is from RNAcentral.
GCCGGAAUAUUUGUUGCCGCUGGCUGUGUUUCCACUUUUCUCAGAUGGCAGUGCCCACAAUCCCCCUGUAGUCCUGUAGGUGGACGCGUCCACUUCACAGGUCCACGCACGCAAGCGCAGGCUCUCACAGCUCACAUCUCAAUCAACUGAAAGCUGCCGCUGAGCUCAGACGGAGGCUGACCGGUGGGGGGGGGGGGGCCCUGGUGCGUGUGAUCCCCAGGGUCACCGAGGGCCGCCGUGGCGCCGUGCCCACGCCGGCCAGUUGCUUUUUCUGAGCUCUGUCUGUCUCUUGUGCCCAGAUGGGACAAUCCCUGGCCCAAAGGAUCGGUCUCAAUCGUCAGGGCCUCGGGGGUGCGUCAUGGGCCGGCCGCUAUCAUCUCGUCAAGAUUCGGAAAAAAAAAAAGUAUCAGUGGAGCCAGCAUGCACUGUCCGUCUACCGUCUGUGCAUACAAGCCAGAUUCGUGCCACAUGAACGUCCUCCAAAAAAAAAAGAUCCGAUGAACGCCACUCGCUUGGCUGGCGUAAAACAUGUACCUGCAUCCUGCACCGUCGGGGACAUCCACUGCACGAGGCGCCCAGAACGCGCGUCGUCCAUCCGUCGAUGCACGGUUUCUAGUGUUAGCCCG